UAUAACAAAAUACAGAUUAACAAGAAGUAUACCAAUUUUUUAAUGUUUUAUGCGACAUGGGAGCUCUUAGAAAUGAAGACCAAAGAAACAGGUCAGGUGGAUUUCACAGCACCCUAAUACAGAGGUUGUUAAUAGGACUGCACAGGCUGGCACCUGGAACUAACUCAGAAGAUACGCUGCCAUGGAAGUUGCUGUAAGUUUCCACAUCUUGACAAGAGAACUGUUAUAAUUGGGCUGUCAGAGCACACAACCCCCACAGAGGUCAUCUCUGCAUGAAUAAACUGCAUCCCUGCCAUGUAGUCACGGAAGUAGUCAGAAUUCCUCUUGACGGAACCAGAUUCCAAAAACACCUUCUCCAAAGGCAAGAGACAGCUUAUUAAAUCUGUCAAGCCCACGGCCUGGUACCUUGUAAGCCCUGUCCAAUUCCUUUCAGGCCCUUGACACAGGCUACUUGGCGCUACUCCGUUAGCAGGUGCGAGAGGAGGCAGCAGCAGGCGCUGGCUUCCCUGCACUCAGCAUGACGUCUUUUCAUAAAUGCCCAUGGGAUGCCUUACCUGAGUGGGAAAUCUAUGCUAAACGGGCGCUGGGACGUGCUGAGACAGCUUAUUUAUCACUGAAUAUGGCAAAACUCUUCACUUGCUCUUUUGGGGGAUAAAGGAGAAUGUCACCAACUAUGGGUGAAGUGGAAAAUGUGCCCUAUCGAAUCCUCCACAUUGUAACCAGCACGUGCGCGUUGUCCUUCCCCCCCUCCU
Molecule: long non-coding RNA, 752 nt
Organism: Nycticebus coucang (slow loris)
Lineage: Eukaryota; Metazoa; Chordata; Mammalia; Primates; Lorisidae
Exons: 3
Source: RefSeq, a predicted model, not a curated record